UUGAAGUUCAGGUAACACUGAAUGGAGGACCGAACCGACUUACGUUGAAAAGUGAGCGGAUGAACUGAGGGUAGCGGAGAAAUUCCAAUCGAACCUGGAGAUAGCUGGUUCUCUCCGAAAUAGCUUUAGGGCUAGCCUCAAGUGAUGAUUAUUGGAGGUAGAGCACUGUUUGGACGAGGGGCCCCUCUCGGGUUACCGAAUUCAGACAAACUCCGAAUGCCAAUUAAUUUAACUUGGGAGUCAGAACAUGGGUGAUAAGGUCCGUGUUCGAAAGGGAAACAGCCCAGACCACCAGCUAAGGUCCCAAAAUAUAUGUUAAGUGGAAAAGGAUGUGGCGUUGCCCAGACAACUAGGAUGUUGGCUUAGAAGCAGCCAUCAUUUAAAGAGUGCGUAAUAGCUCACUAGUCGAGUGA
Molecule: ribosomal RNA, 413 nt
Filed under: Staphylococcus aureus
Lineage: Bacteria; Bacillati; Bacillota; Bacilli; Caryophanales; Staphylococcaceae
Description: partial 23S ribosomal RNA
Rfam family: Bacterial large subunit ribosomal RNA
Source: RNAcentral